CAAGUAAAUUUGUUUCAAGAAAUUUCAGAAUUAAAAUGAGAGCUUUCAUUUUGGCAUGUAUUGUAGCAGCGGUUGUUGCCGAUACUUCAACUACAGUGGCACCAACCACGGACCAAAUUAUUGCCCAGUUUAAGGCAAUGGUUAGAAAAAGCUCAACGGCACUAUUUGCCAAAGCCGACUCCAAUGGCAACAAUGAAUUCGACAGAAACGAUAUGCAACACAUCUUCGUAGAAUACGAUACCGACAAGGAUGGCAGAAUCUCCGAAGCUGAAUUCGAAAAUUCCUUCGCUUCUCGUGAGCCAGGUAUGAAAAUUGUUUCAAAGGGACUUUUCUUGGAAUUGGAUAUGGACAAGAAUGGUUUCGUCACUGAUAGUGAUCUUCCUCUUU
Long non-coding RNA from Patella vulgata (common limpet), 387 nucleotides. RefSeq lists it as uncharacterized. The record is from RefSeq and is a predicted model, not a curated record. The transcript is spliced from 4 exons. Lineage: Eukaryota; Metazoa; Mollusca; Gastropoda; Patellidae.